RNAcentral lists this transfer RNA (77 nucleotides) under Clostridia bacterium. RNAcentral's name for it is "tRNA-Arg". It matches the Rfam family "tRNA". Rfam says of the family: Transfer RNA (tRNA) molecules are approximately 80 nucleotides in length. The record is from RNAcentral. Lineage: Bacteria; Bacillati; Bacillota; Clostridia.
GUGCUCGUAGCGAAGCUGGAUAUCGCGUCAGACUCCGACUCUGAAGGCCGCGGGUUCGAAUCCCGCCGGGCACACCA